UUAUGGCUCAGGAUGAACGCUAGCGGCAGGCUAACACAUGCAAGUCGAGGGGCAGCGCGAGGUAGCAAUACUUGGCGGCGACCGGCGAAAGGGUGCGUAACGCGUGAGCAACUUGCCCGUAUCUGGGACAUAAGCGGUGGAAACGCCGUCUAAUUUCCCAUAACAACAGAGGCCGCAUGACAUCUGUUUGAAAGAUCCGUCGGAUACGGAUGGGCUCGCGAGACAUUAGCUAGUCGGCGUGGUAACGGCACACCGAGGCGACGAUGUCUAGGGGUUCUGAGAGGAAGGUCCCCCACACUGGAACUGAGACACGGUCCAGACUCCUACGGGAGGCAGCAGUGAGGAAUAUUGGUCAAUGGGCGCAAGCCUGAACCAGCCAUGCCGCGUGAAGGAAUAAAGGCCCUAUGGGUCGUAAACUUCUUUUGUGGUGGAGCAAUAAGGUGUACGUGUACACCGAUGAGAGUACAUCACGAAUAAGCAUCGGCUAACUCCGUGCCAGCCGCAGC
This 506-nucleotide ribosomal RNA is filed under the name uncultured bacterium. Its description in RNAcentral is "bacterial SSU rRNA". It matches the Rfam family "Bacterial small subunit ribosomal RNA", at positions 17 to 518 of the family's 1533-position model. The record is from RNAcentral.